AGCUCCAAUAGCGUAUAUUAAAGUUGUUGCAGUUAAAAAGCUCGUAGUUGAAUUUCUGGCUGGUCUGCUAGUGGCUCUCGCAGUCGUUAGUUGUACCUAGUCAUCCGUACGGGAAUCUUAUUCGGCCUUCGCUGGUCGGUAAGUGGAUCGUACACUUUACUUUGAAAAAAUUAGAGUGUUUCAGGCAGGCAAUUGCUUGGAUACUGCAGCAUGGAAUAAUGGAAUAGGACUUUGAUCUAUUUGUUGGUUUCUCGAGAUCAAAGUAAUGAUUAAUAGGGAUAGUUGGGGGCAUUCGUAUUUAAUUGUCAGAGGUGAAAUUCUUGGAUUUAUUAAAGACGAACUUAUGCGAAAGCAUUUGCCAAGGAUGUUUUCA
This 373-nucleotide ribosomal RNA is filed under the name Colpodea sp. BioMarKs_Marine_Colpodea_OTU_7. Its description in RNAcentral is "SSU rRNA". It matches the Rfam family "Eukaryotic small subunit ribosomal RNA", at positions 587 to 972 of the family's 1831-position model. Lineage: Eukaryota; Ciliophora; Colpodea. The record is from RNAcentral.